AGUGAACGCUGGCGGUAGGCCUAACACAUGCAAGUCGAACGGCAGCACAGUAAGAGCUUGCUCUUACGGGUGGCGAGUGGCGGACGGGUGAGGAAUACAUCGGAAUCUACUUUUUCGUGGGGGAUAACGUAGGGAAACUUACGCUAAUACCGCAUACGACCUACGGGUGAAAGCAGGGGAUCUUCGGACCUUGCGCGAUUGACUGAGCCGAUGUCGGAUUAGCUAGUUGGCGGGGUAAAGGCCCACCAAGGCGACGGUCCGAAGCUGGUCUGAGAGGAUGAUCAGCCACACUGGAACUGAGACACGGUCCAGACUCCUACGGGAGGCAGCAGUGGGGAAUAUUGGACAAUGGGCGCAAGCCUGAUCCAGCCAUACCGCGUGGGUGAAGAAGGCCUUCGGGUUGUAAAGCCCUUUUGUUGGGAAAGAAAAGCAGCAGGUUAAUACCCCGCUGUUCUGACGGUACCCAAAGAAUAAGCACCGGCUAACUUCGUG
RNAcentral lists this ribosomal RNA (492 nucleotides) under uncultured bacterium. RNAcentral describes it as "partial 16S ribosomal RNA". It matches the Rfam family "Bacterial small subunit ribosomal RNA", at positions 29 to 507 of the family's 1533-position model. The record is from RNAcentral.